GGAGUAACUCAGUGGUAGAGCAUCUGCUUUGCAUGCAGAAGGUCCCGGGUUCAAUCCUUGGCGUCUCCA
This is a non-coding RNA of Podarcis lilfordi (Lilford's wall lizard), 69 nucleotides long. The record is from the annotation of a GenBank genome assembly. NCBI's taxonomy places the organism in Eukaryota, Metazoa, Chordata, Lepidosauria, Squamata, Lacertidae.